GGCCAAGUUUUUAAGGGCGCACGGUGGAUGCCUUGGCACCAGGAACCGAUGAAGGACGUGGGAGGCCACGAUAGUCCCCGGGGAGUCGUCAACCAGGCUUUGAUCCGGGGGUUUCCGAAUGGGGAAACCCGGCAGUCGUCAUGGGCUGUCACCCUUGUCUGAACACAUAGGGCAAGUGGAGGGAACGCGGGGAAGUGAAACAUCUCAGUACCCGCAGGAAGAGAAAACAACCGUGAUUCCGGGAGUAGUGGCGAGCGAAACCGGAUGAGGCUAAACCGUAUACGUGUGAGACCCGGCAGGGGUUGCGUAUGCGGGGUUGUGGGAUCUCUCUUCCACGGUCUGCCGGCCGUGGGACGAGUCAGAAACCGUUGAUGUAGGCGAAGGACAUGCGAAAGGUCCGGCGUAGAGGGUAAGACCCCCGUAGUCGAAACAUCAGCGGCUCGUUUGAGAGACACCCAAGUAGCACGGGGCCCGAGAAAUCCCGUGUGAAUCUGGCGGGACCACCCGCUAAGCCUAAAUAUUCCCUGGUGACCGAUAGCGGAUAGUACCGUGAGGGAAUGGUGAAAAGUACCCCGGGAGGGGAGUGAAAUAGUACCUGAAACCGUGUGCCUACAAGCCGUGGGAGCGUCGGAUGGAAGCUUGCUUCCAUCUCGUGACUGCGUGCCUUUUGAAGAAUGAGCCUGCGAGUUUGCGGUGUGUUGCGAGGUUAACCCGUGUGGGGAAGCCGUAGCGAAAGCGAGUCCGAAUAGGGCGUUUCAGUAGCACGCUCAAGACCCGAAGCGGAGUGAUCUAGCCAUGGGCAGGUUGAAGCGGAGGUAAGACUUCGUGGAGGACCGAACCCACCAGGGUUGAAAACCUGGGGGAUGACCUGUGGUUAGGGGUGAAAGGCCAAUCAAACUCCGUGAUAGCUGGUUCUCCCCGAAAUGCAUUUAGGUGCAGCGUCGUGUGUUUCUUGCCGGAGGUAGAGCACUGGAUAGGCGAUGGGCCCUACCGGGUUACUGACCUUAGCCAAACUCCGAAUGCCGGUAAGUGAGAGCGCGGCAGUGAGACUGUGGGGGAUAAGCUCCAUGGUCGAGAGGGAAACAGCCCAGAGCAUCGACUAAGGCCCCUAAGCGUACGCUAAGUGGGAAAGGAUGUGGAGUCGCAGAGACAACCAGGAGGUUGGCUUAGAAGCAGCCACCCUUGAAAGAGUGCGUAAUAGCUCACUGGUCUAGUGAUUCCGCGCCGACAAUGUAGCGGGGCUCAAGCGUACCGCCGAAGUCGUGUCAUUGCGAUAUGUACCCCCAACGGGGAUCGUGAUGGGUAGGGGAGCGUCGUGUGCCGGGUGAAGCAGCACCGGAAGGUAGUUGUGGACGGUUCACGAGUGAGAAUGCAGGCAUGAGUAGCGAUUCACACGUGAGAAACGUGUGCGCCGAUUGACUAAGGGUUCCUGGGUCAAGCUGAUCUGCCCAGGGUAAGUCGGGACCUAAGGCGAGGCCGACAGGCGUAGUCGAUGGAUAACCGGUUGAUAUUCCGGUACCCGCUGUGAAGCGUCAAACAUCGAGCAUCGUGAUGCUAAGGCCGUGAAGCCGCCCUGGAGCCUUCGGGCAAAGGGGAGUGGUGGAGCCGCUGAACCAAGCGGUUAGUAGGUGAGUGAUGGGGUGACGCAGGAAGGUAGUCCAUCCCGGGCGGUGGUUGUCCCGGGGUAAGGGUGUAGGCCGUGAUCCAGGCAAAUCCGGAUCACACAAGGCUGAGACCUGAUGCCGAGCCGAUUGUGGUGAAGUGGAUGAUCCUAUGCUGUCGAGAAAAGCCUCUAGCGAGUUUCAUGGCGGCCCGUACCCUAAACCGACUCAGGUGGUCAGGUAGAGAAUACCGAGGCGUUCGGGUGAACUAUGGUUAAGGAACUCGGCAAAAUGCCCCCGUAACUUCGGGAGAAGGGGGGCCACACUCGGUGAUCCGAUUUACUCGGUGAGCUGGGGGUGGCCGCAGAGACCAGCGAGAAGCGACUGUUUACUAAAAACACAGGUCCGUGCGAAGCCGUAAGGCGAUGUAUACGGACUGACGCCUGCCCGGUGCUGGAACGUUAAGGGGACCGGUUAGCUCAGAUUCGUCUGGGCGAAGCUGAGAACUUAAGCGCCAGUAAACGGCGGUGGUAACUAUAACCAUCCUAAGGUAGCGAAAUUCCUUGUCGGGUAAGUUCCGACCUGCACGAAUGGCGUAACGACUUCUCGACUGUCUCAACCAUAGGCCCGGUGAAAUUGCACUACGAGUAAAGAUGCUCGUUUCGCGCAGCAGGACGGAAAGACCCCGGGACCUUUACUACAGUUUGAUAUUGGUGUUCGGUUCGGCUUGUGUAGGAUAGCUGGGAGACUGUGAACUCUGGACGCCAGUUCAGGGGGAGUCGUCGUUGAAAUACCAGUCUGGUCGUGCUGGAUGUCUAACCUGGGUCCGUGAUCCGGAUCAGGGACAGUGUCUGAUGGGUAGUUUAACUGGGGCGGUUGCCUCCUAAAGAGUAACGGAGGCGCCCAAAGGUUCCCUCAGCCUGGUUGGCAAUCAGGUGUUGAGUGUAAGUGCACAAGGGAGCUUGACUGUGAGACCGACGGGUCGAGCAGGGACGAAAGUCGGGACUAGUGAUCCGGCGGUGGCUUGUGGAAGCGCCGUCGCUCAACGGAUAAAAGGUACCCCGGGGAUAACAGGCUGAUCUUCCCCAAGAGUCCAUAUCGACGGGAUGGUUUGGCACCUCGAUGUCGGCUCGUCGCAUCCUGGGGCUGGAGUCGGUCCCAAGGGUUGGGCUGUUCGCCCAUUAAAGCGGUACGCGAGCUGGGUUUAGAACGUCGUGAGACAGUUCGGUCCCUAUCCGCUGUGCGCGUAGGAAUAUUGAGAAGGGCUGUCCCUAGUACGAGAGGACCGGGACGGACGAACCUCUGGUGUGCCAGUUGUUCUGCCAAGGGCAUGGCUGGUUGGCUACGUUCGGGAGGGAUAACCGCUGAAAGCAUCUAAGCGGGAAGCCUGCUUCGAGAUGAGUAUUCCCACCUCCUUGAGAGGGUAAGGCUCCCAGUAGACGACUGGGUUGAUAGGCCGGAUAUGGAAGCACGGUAACGUGUGGAGUUGACCGGUACUAAUAGGCCGAGGGCUUGUCCUC
This 3121-nucleotide ribosomal RNA is filed under the name Streptomyces collinus. RNAcentral describes it as "23S ribosomal RNA". It matches the Rfam family "Bacterial large subunit ribosomal RNA". Lineage: Bacteria; Bacillati; Actinomycetota; Actinomycetes; Kitasatosporales; Streptomycetaceae. The record is from RNAcentral.